This 253-nucleotide ribosomal RNA is filed under the name uncultured bacterium. Its description in RNAcentral is "partial 16S ribosomal RNA". It matches the Rfam family "Bacterial small subunit ribosomal RNA", at positions 524 to 776 of the family's 1533-position model. The record is from RNAcentral.
UACGUAGGGUGCGAGCGUUGUCCGGAAUUAUUGGGCGUAAAGAGCUCGUAGGCGGCGUGUCACGUCGGAUGUGAAAGCCCGGGGCUUAACCCUGGGUCUGCAUUCGAUACGGGCAGGCUAGAGUUCGGUAGGGGAGAUCGGAAUUCCUGGUGUAGCGGUGAAAUGCGCAGAUAUCAGGAGGAACACCGGUGGCGAAGGCGGAUCUCUGGGCCGAUACUGACGCUGAGGAGCGAAAGCAUGGGGAGCGAACAGG